CCUACGGGAGGCAGCAGUGAGGAAUAUUGGUCAAUGGACGAGAGUCUGAACCAGCCAAGUAGCGUGAAGGAUGACUGCCCUAUGGGUUGUAAACUUCUUUUAUAUGGGAAUAAAAUGUUCCACGUGUGGGAUUUUGUAUGUACCAUAUGAAUAAGGAUCGGCUAACUCCGUGCCAGCAGCCGCGGUAAUACGGAGGAUCCGAGCGUUAUCCGGAUUUAUUGGGUUUAAAGGGAGCGUAGGUGGAUUGUUAAGUCAGUUGUGAAAGUUUGCGGAUCAACCGUAAAAUUGCAGUUGAAACUGGCAGUCUUGAGUACAGUAGAGGUGGGCGGAAUUCGUGGUGUAGCGGUGAAAUGCUUAGAUAUCACGAAGAACUCCGAUUGCGAAGGCAGCUCACUGGACUGCAACUGACGCUGAAGCACGAAAGCGUGGGUAUCGAACAGGAUUAGAUACCCCUGUAGUC
RNAcentral lists this ribosomal RNA (460 nucleotides) under uncultured bacterium. Its description in RNAcentral is "partial 16S ribosomal RNA". It matches the Rfam family "Bacterial small subunit ribosomal RNA", at positions 338 to 795 of the family's 1533-position model. The record is from RNAcentral.